This 254-nucleotide ribosomal RNA is filed under the name uncultured bacterium. RNAcentral's name for it is "partial 16S ribosomal RNA". It matches the Rfam family "Bacterial small subunit ribosomal RNA", at positions 524 to 776 of the family's 1533-position model. The record is from RNAcentral.
CACGUAGGGGGCGAGCGUUGUCCGGAUUUAUUGGGCGUAAAGGGCUCGUAGGCGGCUCAGUAAGUCGGGUGUGAAGCCUCCAGGCUCAACCUGGAGACGCCACUCGAUACUGCUGUGGCUAGAGUCCGGUAGGGGAGCAUGGAAUUCCUGGUGUAGCGGUGAAAUGCGCAGAUAUCAGGAGGAACACCAGUGGCGAAGGCGGUGCUCUGGGCCGGAACUGACGCUGAUGAGCGAAAGCGUGGGGAGCAAACAGG